This 77-nucleotide transfer RNA is filed under the name Bacillus phage P59. RNAcentral's name for it is "tRNA-Leu". It matches the Rfam family "tRNA". From Rfam's summary of the family: Transfer RNA (tRNA) molecules are approximately 80 nucleotides in length. Their secondary structure includes four short double-helical elements and three loops (D, anti-codon, and T loops). Lineage: Duplodnaviria; Heunggongvirae; Uroviricota; Caudoviricetes; Herelleviridae. The record is from RNAcentral.
GCCUUCGUAGCCCAACAGGUAGAGGCAAGAGACUUAAAAUCUCUUAAGUGCAGGUUCGAAUCCUGCCGGAGGUACCA